GAUGAACGCUGGCGGCGUGCCUAAUACAUGCAAGUCGAGCGAACGGACGAGAAGCUUGCUUUUCUGAUGUUAGCGGCGGACGGGUGAGUAACACGUGGAUAACCUACCUAUAAGACUGGGAUAACUUCGGGAAACCGGAGCUAAUACCGGAUAAUAUUUUGAACCGCAUGGUUCAAAAGUGAAAGACGGUCUUGCUGUCACUUAUAGAUGGAUCCGCGCUGCAUUAGCUAGUUGGUAAGGUAGCGGCUUACCAAGGCAACGAUGCAUAGCCGACCUGAGAGGGUGAUCGGCCACACUGGAACUGAGACACGGUCCAGACUCCUACGGGAGGCAGCAGUAGGGAAUCUUCCGCAAUGGGCGAAAGCCUGACGGAGCAACGCCGCGUGAGUGAUGAAGGUCUUCGGAUCGUAAAACUCUGUUAUUAGGGAAGAGCAUAUGUGUAAGUAACUGUGCACAUCUUGACGGUACCUAAUCAGAAAGCCACGGCUAACUACGUG
Molecule: ribosomal RNA, 497 nt
Filed under: uncultured bacterium
Lineage: Bacteria
Description: partial 16S ribosomal RNA
Rfam family: Bacterial small subunit ribosomal RNA
Source: RNAcentral